Molecule: ribosomal RNA, 426 nt
Filed under: uncultured eukaryote
Lineage: Eukaryota
Description: bacterial SSU rRNA
Rfam family: Eukaryotic small subunit ribosomal RNA
Source: RNAcentral
AUAACCGUAGUAAUUCGUAGGGCUAAGUACGUGCGAAGCGCCGAAGCCGCGAGGCGACGGGCGUUCUCGCCGGAUGUAGGAACCGACCCGGGGGACCGCCGGGGGCAACCCGGCGCCCCCCGAGACGGGGCGAACCACGGUGAAAUGACGGAUCGUCGGCCCCGCGCCGGCGACUCGCCGAAUGAGUUUCUGACCUAUCAACUCGAGACGGCGGGGUAGAGGCCCGCCGCGGUAACGACGGGUAACGGGGAAUCAGGGUUCGAUUCCGGACGAGGGAGCCCGAGAAACGGCUACCACUUCCAAGGAAGGCAGCAGGCGCGCAACUUACCCUAAUCUCGAUUCGAGGAGGUAGUGACAAGAAAUACCGAUGCGGGACCCUACGGGUGCCGCGUUCGGAAUGAGUACGAUUCGAACCACCUAACGAGG